This 1310-nucleotide long non-coding RNA is filed under the name Homo sapiens (human). RNAcentral's name for it is "SRGAP3 antisense RNA 2 (SRGAP3-AS2)". The record is from RNAcentral. Lineage: Eukaryota; Metazoa; Chordata; Mammalia; Primates; Hominidae.
GGGUUUCCCUGCUAUGUUUUGUCACACAUCAUUGCUGGGAGAGUUCAGUGCUAUCCAAGUGACUCCCCCGGGAGAGGACAACUGGAAAUUUAUGCCUGGUGUCUUCCUGGACUCCGACCUAUGCACCUUUUUCCUUGGAUGAUUUUAACCUGUCUCCUUUUGCUGCAAUGAACCAUAACCAUGAGUAUAUCAGCUUUUCUAAUUUUUGUGAGUCCCUCAAGUGAAUUAUCAAACCUAAGGUAGUUUUGGGACCCCCAUCACAGAGAGUCAAACAGGGGCAGGGCAAGAAGAGCUGCUUUUCCUGGAAGGCUAAUGAGUCUGAACUUCGCCCUGGAGGUAAUCGUUAUAGUAACUCCAGGCUCUAACCUGGAGCUGACAUGAUAAGGUCAAAUGUACACCUCUAGAAGACUUCCGACUGCAGAGGGGAAUGGAUGGGGGAGCUGAGGGAGGAGAGCUGAAGCAGGAAGACCAUGGCCUGGAAAGAGAUGGCUGAACCAGUCCAGAAUCACAAGAAAGGCAUCAGCACCUUCUGUGAAAUGGGGAGCCAUGCAGAGGAGGUGCCCAGGUGGCGAGGAGUCCAUGUCAGCUGCCGUCAUCCACACCACAGAUCAGACAUGGCAAAGAGUGGCCAGGCCUUCUGAGUGAAGGUGAUCCAACCUGUCACCAAGCCUAAGGGCAAAUCCUGGCUGUGCUGUGAUGGCUCCAACAACCCCAAACAGCAGCGCAGAGGCUGCAGCCGCCCUCGGAGGCAACACUGGGAAACGCUCAUUAGCAGCCUUCCAUUGCUCACCCGCCCCAUCCCACCUCUGUGCAUCCCAGAUCAUCAGCGAAGUGCACAGCUGGCUUCCAUCCUCGGAGCCUUCCUCCUUCAUUUGCCUAUUCAACAGUUACAAAGGCCUGAGUUGCAAAGGGGCUUACAACCCAUUCCACCCAGAAGAAAGAGAACUGAGACUGAGCAAGACAGAGAAUAGGUGGAAGGGGAGAUGAAACCAAGCAAUCUCUAGAUCCCAAAUGGGGACCCUGAUGUAGCAAGAGCCUCUUUUAAAUCCUUUUCCAAUAGGGUAAUAUGGAAAAUAGUUGAAAGCACAAGCCAAGUGGGGCUGGAAUCCCAAAUGGGCCAUUUACUAGCUGUGUGACUGGACAAGUAAUUUCAUAUUUCUGGGCCUCGAUUUUUCUCAUCUGUAAAAUAGAAAAAAAAAAACCUAUGUCAUAACGUUGAUAAACAGAUUAGAUGAGCUAAGAUCUAAAAUGUCUUCUAUUCAGUAGGUGCUCAAUAAAUGUUAUCUAUUUUUAAAAAAAAAAAAAAAAAA